Molecule: long non-coding RNA, 357 nt
Filed under: Bos taurus (domestic cattle)
Lineage: Eukaryota; Metazoa; Chordata; Mammalia; Artiodactyla; Bovidae
Description: long non-coding RNA NONBTAT007240
Source: RNAcentral
UAAAAGAACACAUUUUUUUGAGUCUUACUUUCUCUUCAUCACUGAAGGGAGUUUUCUGUUAUUUCUUUGGUAGAUUGAUUUGGUUUAUUUUUGAAAACUCACUAGAAACAAAGUCAAAUUAAUUGUGAAAGACAUUGUUUUUGCUUGUUGUGGAGUUGCUGUUUCUCUGAACUCUGUGAGCAUGAAUGUUCACAGACUGAUGUUGAGGAGGCAUUCAAACAAAGUCUGGUGGAGGCAUAAACUAUGGGGGCAGGAUGGGAAGAAAGAGAAGAGUUGAAUUAAGAAAAUAUAUAGUAGAAAUCAAGACACUUUUUCUUGCAUUUUGUCAAAAAUACUUACUUCCCUACCUGCCCUCUG